This is a long non-coding RNA of Haliotis rubra (blacklip abalone), 3652 nucleotides long. RefSeq lists it as uncharacterized. The record is from RefSeq and is a predicted model, not a curated record. NCBI's taxonomy places the organism in Eukaryota, Metazoa, Mollusca, Gastropoda, Lepetellida, Haliotidae. The transcript is spliced from 2 exons.
GCGGUGUCUUGGGGUGGGUAGCAAUGGGAUGGGGUGAGACAGGGGAAGGAUGAAGGUCAGGUAGACUUAUUUGCCUUAUGGGGUCAGUAGAACCUUGGAUAUGUUUGUUUUUGGUUUUUGUAUUUUGCAAAAAUAAACAAUUUUUAACAAGUAGACGACAUCGAGUUGCAUUGGAGUAAAAGACAACCAGACUUGGGGGUAAGGAUCUGGUCCUGAUUUCUCGAAACAAACUUAAGUUUUUACUCAAAUUUCAAACUGAGUUUGACAAUUUGAAACAACUGAAGUUUUAACUCAACUGCAUUUUUAAAAUAAAAGCCCAAACAACUUAAGUAAUCUAUCCACUAAACUCUAAUUGCCUACUAUGUUUGAGUUUAAUAUCGAUUUUGGUUCUUUCUGGGAAAUGCAUUCUCCUGCCUUUUCUCAAAUUUGAGUAAAAACUCUAACUUAAGUCAUAAUUCAGACUUAAGUUUGUUUCGAGAAAUCGGGGCCUGGAGGCAUAGGGAGUUGUAAAGGCUGGACAUAGUAAUGGUGUUUAUGUUCAGGAAGAUCUUUCAAUACCUGUCCGUUCUACAGCACCUUUACAGAUGAAGGAAAACUAAGUUCUAUGGAUAGUCAACUUCUUUACAGAUGUCUCAAGCCUCUCCAGAUGUCUGUUGAUUCUCUGUCGAUGGCGUGGGAUUCUAUGUCACAACAGUGUUCGAUCAUUUAGGGGGGACUCUAUUUUUGAAUGUGGGGUUGGGGUGGGGAUGGGGGAGGAGAGCAGAGGGGCAGGUGGAUCAGUGCUGCAGCCAGACCGCGUAAUUGCGGGAUUUCCGCUAAUUGUACUUACCUUUGCACUUUAUUUAUAUUUUUAUAAUUUUCAACCCAUUUUUAUUGGGUGCGUAAUUAAUUUCAAUAUUUUUCAUUGAAAACUAUGUCAAACAUUUGGAAAUCAAAAUCAAAUGUUGAAACUUCCGGAAUUCAAAACAAGGCUUCCUAAGCUCUCCACAUUGUGAGUACGUCUAUUUGCAUACUAAACUGUAAUAUGAAUCGGAGCUUGAGUUUAUGUACCUAGUUGAUCAUAGUUUUGUCACGUUUGGUUAUUCUUGCACAUUUUCUAAAGGUAGGGGCUAACUGGUGCUUUCCAAGGAAAUCCUGGCUGCAGCGCAGGUGGCUUGUUUCUGAAAGGUUCUUUCAAAACAUAGAGUUUGAUUUUGAAGAAAUUGUUGAAAUAUUUUGUUAAUUUUCAUGUAAAUGUUAAAUCUAAGGUGUAUAUUGAACAGGUUGCUUCGGAAGGAGAUUAAAAGAGUGGUUGUCAGGAGUUUUCUUUCAUUUUUCUCAUCCAAGACAUGUUUUACUUUUAUAAGAAAGAAUCCUGCCACCCCAAAGACUGACAUGUUACUGAAUGAAAGUGUCCUUGUUUGGUUGAUUUUAGACUAGGCUCACAAUGUGAGUUGUUUGACACAAGCAGUCAAACAUCAUGUGCUUUAGUCAAACAUGCUUUGGACAAGUAUGCUGAUAUAAUUAUUGUUAACGAUGUGAGACCUGAAUAAAGGCUUUGUGUACAUUCCAGGAAGAAUCAUGACAUUUGACUGUUGUUUUCAUACAGAGUGAAAGUGUGUUAUGUGCAUUUAUAUCAUCGGUGUAUAUAAGUGUUAUAUCACCAGAGUUGAUUCUUGUAGCUCAUACUGUGUACAUAGACAGGUAUCAACAUGGGGAGAUCAGGGAGUGAAAUUAUCUUAAAAUAUUCCUGGCCAGGUGGACUUGCCGCCAGUUUCAGAUAUCACUUGUGUUAUGAUCAACAUGAUGUGCAUGAAAAAUUAAUUUUCGACAAUUAAAUUUUACUUGCAGACUUGGUUUGUAACAAACUAUGUGCAAAGAAACAAAUUUCAGUCCCUUGAAUUUAUCCUACUGAUGUUUAGCUAUAUUUUAAAUGUAUGAAAUAACUACAUGCCCAUGGUUUCCAUUUCAUUUGGGCUACACUGAAUUGUCAGGUCUGGACCCGAUUAUUUACAGACUGCCGCCAUAUAGCUGGAUUAUUGCUGAGUGCGGCUUAAACAACAAACAGACAAACAAUGAACUGCUCUAAAGAUUCUGAAAUAUUUAUAUUGAAUAAGCCAUAACAUUUUGGGGGAUAAUCAGAUAUGUCAUUAAUUGUUUGAUCAGCAUUCUAGAAGCUGGUGAGUCAAAAUGAAACAUACAACUUUAUGGAUGAGAUUGACAACUUCUUGUUUAUUGCGUUAAGCGACGUUUCGAUGUAGAUUCAUACAUCACUAUCAAGCUAAAGGGAUCUACAUCAAACGUCGCUUAAUGCUAUAAACAAGAAGUUGUCCUCGAUAAAGUUGUAUGUUUCAUUUUUAGAUGUGUCAUUAAUUUCAAAUAUACACUUACUUUAUUAUAAGAACCAGGGCCUAGAUUUUCAAAGCUCUCUUUGCGCUAAGAUAGUCGUAAGUGCCAUACAUUAACAUUAACUUACGACUAUCUUAGCACUAAGAGAGCUUCGAAAAUCUAGGCCCAGUUUUGUGUAUGAAAAGUGGGUGGUAUACACGUACAUGUCAUUGUGGUGCUAGUUUCUGUUUUCAGUUACAGCUACUUACAAAUACUGCAUCGGUAGAUUUCACAGUCAUGACAUUUUCCAAUAAAUUUGUGAUGUUCCACUGUGGGCAGUGAAGGAACUAAACGGUUCACUGUGGGUUUUCAUGUUGUAUGGAGAGCUUGUAACAAUAGAAAUCAGAGGGGGCUUUUGAAAUUGUUGGUUACAAUUGUUGGUACAUUAUACCAGUGUUGGUUAAAACCGUUAGCACUCUGUAUUCAUGUUGGUUAUGAUCGUUGGUACGUUGUAUCUGUGUUUAUAUGAACCAUAUUCUACUGUACAGUGAAACUGAAUCCUUUAACUAAAUACAAUUCUGUGGUGUGUUUGGAUUAUUGGUUAAUGCAUUUUGUAUCCUGAGUUGUAUUGCUAUCAAUACAAUUUGCGAUACUUGAGUUGUACUGAUACAAUUUACAAUUACUUGGGUUGUACUGAUACAGUUUGCGAUACAUGAGCUGUAUCGAUACAUGUAGGGAUGCUUGAGGAAUGCAUUGGUACAUGCUUUUUUUCCCAUUGUUUUUACGUGAACUUCUCCGUGUUCCUAGGGUCCAGCUAGGAUGAUGUUGUUAGUAUCUACCAGAUUGUAUUUAUCUUGAAUUACUCAUAUAGUGUUUUCUAAUUUAUUAUGCAGUCAGAUUUAGCAUUUUCAUUUGUGAAAAGGUUAGAUUCUACUUUUCUCAGGCAUGGUAUUCCAAAUAUUCUAAGCGUUUAAAUUUCGAAAUUUUUUGAAUUAUAGAUUGGAUUGAUUCUUUUUAUUCUGUUUUGCGGGAUACAUUGCUGAACUGUGGCAUUGCAAGUGCAGCCUAUAUCAACUGCCUAGUAACUGUUGUAUUAUCAACACUUGUACUGUCCACGACUGCAUCUGUUUGGAAAAUAUAACUCUUUUAUAAUUUUUCAUGGUUAUAAGUGCCUCAUUUGUCAAAUUUCCAUGCACUCAGGUCUAUUAUUGUGUUAAAUAUGGUAUCAAGAAAGUGAUAUAAAAUUCAUAGCAUUGGAUUUGUUUAAAUUCUGGCUAGGAUGAUAGCAAAGGAAUUGAAACAAAUUUGCCCUUUUGGUAGUUAGAAAUGCUUUUUAAAGAUUUUU